This is a long non-coding RNA of Eriocheir sinensis (Chinese mitten crab), 2107 nucleotides long. RefSeq lists it as uncharacterized. The transcript is spliced from 3 exons. The record is from RefSeq and is a predicted model, not a curated record. Lineage: Eukaryota; Metazoa; Arthropoda; Malacostraca; Decapoda; Varunidae.
UAUUGCCAUUAUAUUCUUAAAGCCACUAAUCAUGCCAUUAUGCCGACUCAGCCCCGCGCAUGGCACUUCUUCCCACCGGAGUCAUUUGCCCCACUAAUGGAGGGCGUGUUUGUUUUGGUUUUGUUAGGUUAUGUUAGGUUAAGUUUAGGGUAUCUUCAAACACAUGAUAGCCAGCACCUUAUGGUAUAAAUCAACAAAGAAUGACCUCACUUUGUUGUAUAGAAAGUCUCAUUAGUAAGGAAGCAUAUAUGAAUUUUCUGAGUCAAGGCCUAUAGUGUUUGUUUUGGUUUUGUUAGGUUAUGUUAGGUUAAGUUUAGGGUAUCUUCAAACACAUGAUAGCCAGCACCUUAUGGUAUAAAUCAACAAAGAAUGACCUCACUUUGUUGUAUAGAAAGUCUCAUUAGUAAGGAAGCAUAUAUGAAUUUUCUGAGUCAAGACCUAUAGUGUUUGUUUUGGUUUUGUUAGGUUAUGUUAGGUUAAGUUUAGGGUAUCUUCAAACACAUGAUAGCCAGCACCUUAUGGUAUAAAUCAACAAAGAAUGACCUCACUUUGUUGUAUAGAAAGUCUCAUUAGUAAGGAAGCAUAUAUGAAUUUUCUGAGUCAAGACCUAUAGUGUUUGUUUUGGUUUUGUUAGGUUAUGUUAGGUUAAGUUUAGGGUAUCUUCAAACACAUGAUAGCCAGCACCUUAUGGUAUAAAUCAACAAAGAAUGAUUUCAUUUUGUUGUCUAGAAAGUCUCAUUAGUAAGGAAGCAUAUAUGAAAUUUCUGAGUCAAGACCUAUAGUGUAUGUUUUGGUUAUGUUAGGUUAAGUUUAGGGUAUCUUCAAACACAUGAUAGCCAGCACCUUAUGGUAUAAAUCAACAAAGAAUGACCUCACUUUGUUGUAUAGAAAGUCUCAUUAGUAAGGAAGCAUAUAUGAAUUUUCUGAGUCAAGACCUAUAGUGUUUGUUUUGGUUUUGUUAGGUUAUGUUAGGUUAAGUUUAGGGUAUCUUCAAACACAUGAUAGCCAGCACCUUAUGGUAUAAAUCAACAAAGAAUGACCUCACUUUGUUGUAUAGAAAGUCUCAUUAGUAAGGAAGCAUAUAUGAAUUUUCUGAGUCAAGACCUAUAGUGUUUGUUUUGGUUUUGUUAGGUUAUGUUAGGUUAAGUUUAGGGUAUCUUCAAACACAUGAUAGCCAGCACCUUAUGGUAUAAAUCAACAAAGAAUGACCUCACUUUGUUGUAUAGAAAGUCUCAUUAGUAAGGAAGCAUAUAUGAAUUUUCUGAGUCAAGACCUAUAGUGUUUGUUUUGGUUUUGUUAGGUUAUGUUAGGUUAAGUUUAGGGUAUCUUCAAACACAUGAUAGCCAGCACCUUAUGGUAUAAAUCAACAAAGAAUGACCUCACUUUGUUGUAUAGAAAGUCUCAUUAGUAAGGAAGCAUAUAUGAAUUUUCUGAGUCAAGACCUAUAGUGUUUGUUUUGGUUUUGUUAGGUUAUGUUAGGUUAAGUUUAGGGUAUCUUCAAACACAUGAUAGCCAGCACCUUAUGGUAUAAAUCAACAAAGAAUGACCUCACUUUGUUGUAUAGAAAGUCUCAUUAGUAAGGAAGCAUAUAUGAAUUUUCUGAGUCAUGACCUAUAGUGUUUGUUUUGGUUUUGUUAGGUUAUGUUAGGUUAAGUUUAGGGUAUCUUCAAACACAUGAUAGCCAGCAUCUUAUCAUAUAAAUCAACAAAGAAUGACCUCACUUUGUUGUAUAGAAAGUCUCAUUAGUAAGGAAGCAUAUAUGAACUUUCUGAGUCAAGAUCUACAGUAACUGUAUCGGGUUGUGUUAGGUUAAGUUUAGAGUAUCUUUAAACUCAUGAUAGCCAGCACCCUAUGGUAUAAAUCAACAAAGAAUGGCCUCACUUUGUUGUAUAGAAAGUCUCAUUAGUAAAGAAGCAUAUAUGAAUUUUCUGAGUCAAGACCUAUAGUGUUUGUUUUGGUUUUGUUAGGUUAUGUUAGGUUAAGUUUAGGGUAUCUUCAAACACAUGAUAGCCAGCACCUUAUGGUAUAAAUCAACAAAGAAUGACCUCACUUUGUUGUAUAGAAAGUCUCAUUAGUAAGGAAGCAUAUAUGAAUUUUCUGAGUCAAG